UUGUGCUUUACGGAAACGUGGCUGCAUCUAGAUAUUCCCAACCACAGCAUCUCCAAUGACGGCUUCCAGACUGUCUGGGCAGACCUGGGGAGACUCAAUGUAUUCUCCAUAAAAGUUAGUGUCCGCUGUCAAGUGGUCUGUACCCACCCGAGGGAUGUGUUUCGGUUAGCAGAAGGCGCAGGCCUGCACUUGCACUGAUUCAUUAGAUGUCUGUACACCGGGUCUUACCAGGAGGUAAUGAGGUACUGGGCCAGAUUGAUGCUGACUGGUGUUCCUGUGAUGGUGACAUGACGGUCACUUGUCCCGUCCAGCUGGCUGCCGAUCUUUAUCUGAGCUCCGGACACCUGCCUGAUCUCGUUGAUCUUAGUGCCCUGCCGGCCGAUGAUCGAGCCGAUCAGCUGCAGGAGGAAAAAAAAAAGGAGACAAAAGGAAAGAGAAGAACCAUCACAGAAUACAAAGUCAAUGGACAGCAAUGAAUUGUUUUUCUCUCUGGAUGUGGCAGGUGUGUAAUUGUUUUUCAUUCUCUAUUGAUAGGACUGCUAGAUCUGAUCAAGAUAUUCAUGUUUCCCACAAGAUGGAUUGCGACACCUUUGCUUGUCCAUCACCUUUUCUUUCAAUACCACCCACAGGUCAAAGUGUGAGUGAAUUCAGGUUUGUUUAAUCACUGCAGAACUACAGCAAAGACAGAAAAUAACCGCUUAGUGAGAUCUGCUGUCUGACCUUGUCAGAGGAUUAAAGUUUUUGAAUGUCAAACAAGAAAUGACAUUCUCAUCAAUCUCACAAGCUUGCAGAGCUGCUACCAUGGAUACCAACUCCUGAUUUUGUUAUGUAAUGCCCUCUAACCCCUUC
Notolabrus celidotus (New Zealand spotty) is the source of this 849-nucleotide long non-coding RNA. RefSeq lists it as uncharacterized. The record is from RefSeq and is a predicted model, not a curated record. Lineage: Eukaryota; Metazoa; Chordata; Actinopteri; Labriformes; Labridae. The transcript has 3 exons.